Molecule: non-coding RNA, 110 nt
Organism: Picea glauca (white spruce)
Lineage: Eukaryota; Viridiplantae; Streptophyta; Pinopsida; Pinales; Pinaceae
Source: Rfam
AGAGUGUUACUCAGCCAAGAAUGACUUGCCCGCAUACUGCUGUGCAUUAUUGUUCCACAAACGCAUUACAGUCUUGCGGGCAAGUUGUUCUUGGCAAAGCGUCCCUCUCU